Molecule: long non-coding RNA, 1099 nt
Filed under: Serinus canaria (Common canary)
Lineage: Eukaryota; Metazoa; Chordata; Aves; Passeriformes; Fringillidae
Description: lncRNA (ENSSCAG00000007537.1)
Source: RNAcentral
CAGCGUCAGCGCCGCCAGCGCCACCCAGAACUUCAUGGUGACACCUGAGGGGACAGAGGGCACCGAAAUGUCACCAAAAUGGCACCAAAUGGCACCAAAAUGGCACCAAAAUCCUCCCAAAUGGCACCAAAAUGUCGCCAAAAUGUCCCCAAAUGGCACCAAAAUCCCCCCAAAUGGCACCAAAAUCCCCUGAAAUGGCCCCAAAAUGGCCCCAAAUGGCACCAAAAUGGCACCAAAAUGGCACCAAAAUCCCCUGAAAUGGCCCCAAAUGUCCCCAAAUGGCACCAAAAUCCUCCCAAAUGGCACCAAAUGGCACCAAAAUGGCACCAAAAUCCCCUGAAAUGGCCCCAAAAUCCCCUGAAAUGGCCCCAAAUGGCCCCAAAAUGUCCCCAAAUGGCACCAAAAUCCCCCAAAAUGGCCCCAAAUAGACAAAAAAAACCGCCCCAAAUGUCCCCAAAAUGGCCCCAAAUGUCCCCAAAAGGACCUAAAAUGGCCCCAAAAUGGCCCCAAGGUUCCCUGAAAUGGCCCCAAAUGUCCCCAAAAUGUCACUAAAUGUCCUCAAAAUGGCACCAAAUGUCCCCAAAAUGGCCCCAAAUUGAGCCAAAUGUCCCCAAAUGGCACCAAAAUGGCAGCAAAUGUCCCCAAAAUGUCACCAAAUGGAGCCCAAAACCUCUAAAAUGGCCCUAAAUGGACAAAAAACGGCCCCAAAUGUCCCCAAAAUGUCCCCAAAUGUCCCAAAUUGGCACCAAAGUUCCCUGAAAUGGCCCCAAAUGUCCCCGAAAGGACCCAAAAUCCUCAAAAAUGGCCCCAAAAUCCCCCAAAUAUCCAGAAUUGUCCCCAAAUCCCCAGAAUUGUCCCCCAAAUGUCCCCAAAUCUCCAGAAUUGUCCCCAAAAUGGCCCCAAAUCCCAAGAAUUGUCCCCAAAAUGUCACAAAAUGGCCCCAAAAUCCCCAGAAUUGUCCCCAAAAUGUCACAAAAUUGCCCCAAAUCCCAACAAUUGUCCCCAAAAUGUCACAAAAUGUCCCCAAAUGGCCCCAAAAUCCCCAGAAUUGUCCCCAAAAUGUCCCCAAAAUCCCCAGAAUUGUCCCCAAAAUGUCCCC